Molecule: transfer RNA, 92 nt
Filed under: Folsomia candida
Lineage: Eukaryota; Metazoa; Arthropoda; Collembola; Entomobryomorpha; Isotomidae
Rfam family: tRNA
About the family: Transfer RNA (tRNA) molecules are approximately 80 nucleotides in length. Their secondary structure includes four short double-helical elements and three loops (D, anti-codon, and T loops).
Source: Rfam by way of RNAcentral
GCUCUAGUGGCGCAAAGGCAGCGCACGGUACUUAUAAUGCAGUAUUCGUAUGAGUGAUGCCGGGGUUGUGAGUUCGACCCUCACCUAGAGCA